Molecule: ribosomal RNA, 495 nt
Filed under: uncultured bacterium
Lineage: Bacteria
Description: partial 16S ribosomal RNA
Rfam family: Bacterial small subunit ribosomal RNA
Source: RNAcentral
GACGAACGCUGGCGGCGUGCCUAAUACAUGCAAGUAGAACGCUGAAGGAGGAGCUUGCUCUUCUGGAUGAGUUGCGAACGGGUGAGUAACGCGUAGGUAACCUGCCUGGUAGCGGGGGAUAACUAUUGGAAACGAUAGCUAAUACCGCAUAAGAGUAGAUGUUGCAUGACAUUUACUUAAAAGGUGCAAUUGCAUCACUACCAGAUGGACCUGCGUUGUAUUAGCUAGUUGGUGGGGUAACGGCUUACCAAGGCGACGAUACAUAGCCGACCUGAGAGGGUGAGCGGCCACACUGGGACUGAGACACGGCCCAGACUCCUACGGGAGGCAGCAGUAGGGAAUCUUCGGCAAUGGACGGAAGUCUGACCGAGCAACGCCGCGGGAGUGAAGAAGGUUGUCGGAUCGUAAAGCUCUGUUGUAAGAGAAGAACGAGUGUGAGAGUGGAAAGUUCACACUGUGACGGUAUCUGACCAGAAAGGGACGGCUAACUACGUG